This 406-nucleotide ribosomal RNA is filed under the name uncultured bacterium. Its description in RNAcentral is "partial 16S ribosomal RNA". It matches the Rfam family "Bacterial small subunit ribosomal RNA", at positions 29 to 526 of the family's 1533-position model. The record is from RNAcentral.
AUUGAACGCUGGCGGCAGGCCUAACACAUGCAAGUCGAACGAGUGGCGGACGGGUGAGUAAUGUGUGGGAAACUGCCCGAUGGAGGGGGAUAACUACUGGAAACGGUAGCUAAUACCGCAUACCAUAGGAUGAGGCCAGAUGGGAUUAGCUAGUGGGUGGGGUAACGGCUAACCUAGGCGACGAUCCCUAGCUGGUCUGAGAGGAUGAACAGCCACACGGGACCUGGUCCACGGUCCAGACCCCUACGGAAGGAACCAGGGGGGAUGAUUGCACAAGGGGGGAAAGCCUGAUGAGGCCAUGCGGGGUGUAUGAAGAAGGCCUUCGGGUUGAAAAGUAUUUUCAGCGAGGAGGCGUUACUCGCAGAAGAAGCACCGGCUAACUCCGUGCCAGCAGCCGCGGUAAUAC